AUAAUAAAUAAUGAUCGUAUUAUUAUAAAUAAUACAUGAAUUAACAUACAUAUGCUAUAUAAUAUAUAAUUAGAUUAUAUCAUGAUAAAUAAUAUGAAUUAUAAUAUGCUAUUAUAUAAAACAUAAUGUAUAAUAUAAUUUAAAUUAUAUAUUUAUAUUUUAUAUGAUUUCAGAUAGUUCUAAUAAAUUUGAUAGUUUUUAACCUCUUAGCUUCAUCUGUAUAAAUUUUUAUUUUAUGAUAGUUCCAAACUUUUUGGUAUUUUCUACAAUGCUCUAAAUACUGCUUCAGAAAUUUUUUAAUUCAGUGCAUUUUCUCUUGAUAUUGUGUGGGUUUUGUUGAAACCAUUCCCUUUGUAUGAAAUGUUUCAACUUAUAAAUCAUUUAUAUACUUUUUCUACCUGGACUAUCAACCAUUAAAAAUGUAUAUUUCAUUAGAAUUAAGGAAAAAUUUAUUUAAGUUCAUUCUGAGAAUACAGUAAGCCUCAUUGUUUGAAAUUGGAUAGAAGGUGUAGAUGAUUGAAUCUGUUUCAUUUGUAAAAUACCCAGUUUUUAUAACUAGUGCAUUCCUGUUAUUUUCUGGAUUUUCAUCAUUUUGUCUAAAAUAGGAUAUAAAAGGGAAAAAAAUAAAAUAGCCUGUUUUUAUAUGUGUGAACUAUAUUGCUAGUCAAUGUUUUUGUAUGACCAUGUUAUACUUGAUAAAAAAAUUAUAUGUAUAUGUUUAUACACACACAUUAUAUAUAUUUAAAUUAUUUCAAAUAUUUGAAGUUAUUGUGGCUCCUAUGAAACUGUUGCCUCUUAGAGUAUGAUACUUUAAGAUUAUUAACCAUUGACUCGGUGGUCAACACUUGGGCUCAUAUUAUCACUUGACUAUAAUAAGAAAUGUGUUUUAUGGCAUGUUGUCUUAUAGUUCUCUUUAACAUUCAGGACUAAAGAGAAAUGAAUAAACAGCCUUUUUAUGCUUAAGUGUAUUUUUUUAAUCUUCCUUAUACGAAG
RNAcentral lists this long non-coding RNA (993 nucleotides) under Marmota monax (woodchuck). Lineage: Eukaryota; Metazoa; Chordata; Mammalia; Rodentia; Sciuridae. The record is from RNAcentral.